GUGCUUGCUUUGGCAGCACAUAUACUAAAAUUGGAAUGAUAUAGAGAAGAUUAGCAUGUUCCCUGUGCCAGGAUGAUUAAGUGAAGUGUUCCAUAUUUAA
RNAcentral lists this small nuclear RNA (100 nucleotides) under Jaculus jaculus (lesser Egyptian jerboa). The record is from RNAcentral. Lineage: Eukaryota; Metazoa; Chordata; Mammalia; Rodentia; Dipodidae.